This is a long non-coding RNA of Polyodon spathula (Mississippi paddlefish), 1012 nucleotides long. RefSeq lists it as uncharacterized. The transcript is spliced from 3 exons. The record is from RefSeq and is a predicted model, not a curated record. NCBI's taxonomy places the organism in Eukaryota, Metazoa, Chordata, Actinopteri, Acipenseriformes, Polyodontidae.
CGAAACGUGUGACAUAUCAGUAAUGAUAGGGAAGCGACUCAGAGCACUGGUGUGUCCCUUUUUGUUCUACUUCGUCACGUUACGGCCCGACUUUAAGUUUUCACUCUUUUUCUGUAAAUGAAGAUCUGAAAAAGAAGUGGCCAAUAACAUCCGCCGAGAGCAAUUUACAGCAACGAAACACACAAAAGUGUGCAGUAGACAUUUCGUUAAAAGUGAUCUGCUCGAAGCAAUGACUGGAACGCCUAUCAUCAACAACAGCCAAGACUUCGUGUUUGGGAGAGGAGAGAAAAACCCGAGCCUUUUGCCAAAGAAGAUGCAAUGAACUGUUCAGGAAAUUUGCUGACCCGUGAUUACUGUUCAGUACCAGAACCUGCAGUCCUUGAUUUAGCACUGUUGAAAACUGAAGAUUUGUCAAAGAAAAUGGAAGAACUGAAAACCAAAUUAGAAGAAAUAACUGCGAAACAACGCUAUGCUUUGCUCGCUCAAAUGAGAACAUCCGAUUUAACACGAGAUUUGCAAGUUACCGCCAUCAGAUCCUUUUGACAGCUGAUUGAACAUUCUGCUGCCAAGACUGUAGACAGUCACUGCAGUCCAUUAAUGAAUUUAUUCAUCUUACACUGGGCUUGAAGGCCUUCGCUUUAAUAUCCAUUGAUCCACCAUAAGUAGGAUAAUCAUCACCUUGGCCAACUCUCCCUACUGUUUUGGGCUCCAUCAGCAUCUGGAUGUCACCUGAGGAAGUACAACCCAACUUACACAAUGAUUUUAUCUAGAUACCCAGGAUAUAAUUGACUGCACAGAUCUGAAAUGCCAGUCACCUUCCUCCCUGCUUCUUCAGAGCGAGAUGUAUUCCAGCUACAAGUCACACUGUAUAAUGAAAGGAAUGUUGGGUAUGGUGACACAUGGAGCAGUAACAUUUGUCUCCUCCCUUUACGCAGGUUCUGUUAGUGAUAUUUAACCCUUAGCGGUUCAUUUAUUCAGUGCUUAUCAGGCACGUCUGGUCCAAUUAUUUUCA